This 636-nucleotide long non-coding RNA is filed under the name Homo sapiens (human). Its description in RNAcentral is "HSALNT0361792". The record is from RNAcentral. Lineage: Eukaryota; Metazoa; Chordata; Mammalia; Primates; Hominidae.
UGAGCACGCGCAGUGCGUUUAGGAAGUUGUACGCAUACCCAACUGAAGCUUUCUUCCCUUCUCCAGUGGAGUGCACCUGCACAGAAACUCUCUCUGUACCACGUACCUGCUGCCAGAAGCUGGGAAGGAGUGGUGCUGGUGAUUCAAAACUGAUUUUCCUGCCUCUUCGAUGCCUCUUUUAGUGACAUACAGUUAAGACCAGGCACUGGUAUAACCAGGAGUUGCGAAGUGGUCGUAGUUGUUCAUGUCUCAAUCUGGAUCAUCUUUGCUUUUUGCUUCUGCUUUGUGCUAUCCCUCUUCCCGUACCUCAGUUCUAUCUGGAACCAUGAUCUGUGACUGCCAUGGAAAAGUGUUGGGCAGGAGGAGGCCAGCUGGGUCUUUGAAGUUGACAAUGGAGCCAGGAAUGAAAGCUGCACUUAGGAUGAGAAUUGCUUUCCCUGGAGCCAAGUCAGCAAAUGCAGUCUGGUUGUCAGAGCUGAGAGGCUUCACCAAGUCAAGUAGGGGAGGACAUCUUCACUCUGCAACUUGCCCUACUGAAUGCAGAAAGUACUGUCUACUUAGAUAAAGCCUACACUAAAAGGGAAUUGAAUCUCUGCAAAUAAUCCCAGUGAGAUGAACCAGGUACCUCAGUUGGAC